UACGAAGGGGGCUAGCGUUGUUCGGAAUCACUGGGCGUAAAGCGUACGUAGGCGGAUGCUUAAGUCAGGGGUGAAAGCCUGGAGCUCAACUCCAGAACUGCCUUUGAUACUGAGCAUCUUGAGUCCGGGAGAGGUGAGUGGAACUGCUAGUGUAGAGGUGAAAUUCGUAGAUAUUAGCAAGAACACCAGUGGCGAAGGCGGCUCACUGGCCCGGUACUGACGCUGAGGUACGAAAGCGUGGGGAGCAAACAGG
This 253-nucleotide ribosomal RNA is filed under the name uncultured bacterium. RNAcentral's name for it is "partial 16S ribosomal RNA". It matches the Rfam family "Bacterial small subunit ribosomal RNA", at positions 524 to 776 of the family's 1533-position model. The record is from RNAcentral. RNAcentral also lists the same sequence under 1 other name.